AUAAACUGUGAAUGGAUUUGCCUCUCGCAUCAGAUGAUGGCUAGAGAAAGACCUUUCAAUCAACCUUACCUGUGAGUUUUGGGCAAUCGCAUCGGCCCCACAUCCACAUACCAGUCAUCUUCUCGGAUGCAGGCUACUUCUGCUGAUCAUUGGCUGCCAGCAGUUUAGCAGUUUAAUUCUCAUGGGCUCAAGAUUGACUCAGCCUUCCAUUCUUCAGAGGUUCUAUCUCACUUGCAUUUAUGAGAUCUGGAAAACCCCACAAAAGAUCUAAAAAUGAGUAAUCAAAGAAAAUCGGUGCCAUAAAUUUCCGUUAGAAAAUUUGCUUUAUAGCAACACUACAGCAG
Ahaetulla prasina is the source of this 344-nucleotide long non-coding RNA. RefSeq lists it as uncharacterized. The record is from RefSeq and is a predicted model, not a curated record. The transcript has 3 exons. Lineage: Eukaryota; Metazoa; Chordata; Lepidosauria; Squamata; Colubridae.